This 331-nucleotide long non-coding RNA is filed under the name Brassica napus (rape). RNAcentral's name for it is "long non-coding RNA (BNAP_LNC011918)". The record is from RNAcentral. Lineage: Eukaryota; Viridiplantae; Streptophyta; Magnoliopsida; Brassicales; Brassicaceae.
GACCUUGAGGAUAUUGCGGAGGAGGAUACCCUUGUGCUGGAUAUGCCUGACCGUAUCCCUGCGGUGGUGGAGGAUAACCAGCCGGAGGAUAUCCCUGUGGUGGAUAUCCUUCCUUUGGAGGAUACCCUAUAAAACAAGCACAACGUCAUUUCAAGAAAACAAGAAGGACAAAAAAAAUCGAAACAAUAUUGGGAAUUACCUUGAGGAGGUGGAGCACCAACGGGAUGUUGUUGAUCUUGAUACAUCUUCUUCUCUACUAUGCUCUAUCUGAGGUUUUCUCCUUUGUUUAUAACGAAACCUCUACUUAUCUUCGCUGUGAGAUGGAAUAAAU